CCAAUAGCGUAUAUUAAAGUUGUUGCAGUUACAAAGCUCGUAGUUGAAUUUCGGGAUCAGCAGGUUGGUCGUGCCUCUGGUAUUCACUGGUUUCGCUGAUUCCUCCUUUCUGAAGUACUGUAAUGUCAUUAAUUUGGUUUUGCAGGGAAACAGGACUGUUACUUUGAAAAAAUUAGAGUGUUUAAAGCAGGCUUAACGCUUGAAUACAUUAGCACGGAAUAAUGAAAUAGGCUGUUUGAUCCUAUUUUGUUGGUUUCUAGGAUUGACGUAAUGAUUAAUAGGGAUAGUUGGGGGCAUUAGUAUUCAAUUGCCAGAGGUGAAAUUCUUGGAUUUAUUGAAGACUAACUACUGCGAAAGCAUUUGCCAAGGAUGUUUUCAUUAAUCAAGAACGAAAGUUAGGGGAUCGAAGACGAUCAGAUACCGUCGUAGUCUUAGCCAUAAACUAUGCCGACUAGGGAUCGGAUGAUGUUAAUUUUUUAAUGACUCAUUCGGCGCCUUACG
This 501-nucleotide ribosomal RNA is filed under the name uncultured Glomeromycotina. RNAcentral describes it as "partial small subunit ribosomal RNA". It matches the Rfam family "Eukaryotic small subunit ribosomal RNA", at positions 591 to 1092 of the family's 1831-position model. The record is from RNAcentral. Lineage: Eukaryota; Fungi; Glomeromycota.